UACGUAGGGCGCAAGCGUUAUCCGGAAUUAUUGGGCGUAAAGAGCUCGUAGGCGGUUUGUCGCGUCUGCUGUGAAAAUCCAGGGCUUAACCCUGGACCUGCAGUGGGUACGGGCAGACUAGAGUGGCGGUAGGGGAGAUCGGAAUUCCUGGUGUAAGCGGUGAAAUGCGCAGAUAUCAGGAGGAACACCGGUGGCGAAGGCGGAUCUCUGGGCCGUAACUGACGCUGAGGAGCGAAAGCAUGGGGAGCGAACAGG
This 255-nucleotide ribosomal RNA is filed under the name uncultured bacterium. RNAcentral's name for it is "partial 16S ribosomal RNA". It matches the Rfam family "Bacterial small subunit ribosomal RNA", at positions 524 to 776 of the family's 1533-position model. The record is from RNAcentral.